AGCGUCAGUCGUAAAAAUAUUUAAAAAAAUAUACAAUGUGUGCGAUCGUGAAAUGAAUAUGGGAGAGGCACUUGAUUAUAUUUAGAAAAAAAAAAUUCAAUUCGCAAAGUUUACGAUAUAUGUCUUAUAUUUACCGCACAACUAUUGUAAUCGUAUAUCUAUUGUCACGUGAUUAAAGGUCGGCAAAUCAUUGACUGAGAUUGAGUAUUAAAAACUUCGCUUUAUCGCAAGUGAUUACCUCUUUAUUUUAAAAGUCUUAAUUCUAACAGCAACUGGCGUAGAAUGAGACUGUCGUUCUUUUCAUUCUUAUUCUAAUAUAUAAUCAAAUGGCAAAUGUGAACAAUGGGACGUGCAACGUAAAUCUUAAUUUAGAGAAAAACAGCUGAUUUGAAGUAUAGAGGAGAUAUUUAGAAUAGAGAUUCUUAGAACACAGAAAAUCGUCGAUCAUGCAACAACGUGCUUGCGGCCUCGUCAUUUUCCGCCGAUAUCAAGACACCAUCCAGUUUCUCUUGAUGCAGACAUCAUAUGGGCAACAUCACUGGACACCGCCUAAAGGUCACGUCGAUCCGGGUGAAUCCGACAUGGAGACAGCGUUGCGCGAAACCCAGGAAGAGGCUGGCUUCACGUCGAGCGAUCUCAGGAUCUUCGAGGACGCGAGGCACGAGAUGACAUAUCAAGUAAAAGGAAUGUCGAAUGAGCAUCAGGCAUUCGAGUGGCUUUCGUUGCGCGAGGCUUGCGAUCUCGCGAAAUAUGCCGAGAUGCAGAAAGCGCUGAAUGAAUUUGACAAGUAUAUAUCCCAGAAUCUUGCGUAGGUUUCGUAUACGUAUUUAUACACAUUUCUCUAUAAUAUACAGAAAGAGAAUUAUAUAUCCCGAUUUAUGUAUAUUUAUAUAUAUUUAUAUAUAUUUAUAUUUUCUCCUUUUCUCUGAUUAUAUUUCUCUUUACAUUCGCAAAUUCCUAAGUACAUUGAUGAAAACAAGCCUUUAAGGUUGACAUCGCUUUAAAAGAGUAGCGAAGAAAACACUCGCCAGUGUCUAAAAUCUUUCCUCUGCUAAAGUUGAUUUUUGAUAAGUUUUAAGUAAUAAUCGCUUGUUAAUCAUAAUGAUUAAUCCUUUACAAAGCCUACAAUCUUUUUUAAAGUAUUGGUAUUUCCGGUAUAUGCUUGUCACCGAAUUAUACAUGGUGGAAGGAUGGGAGAGAAAUUUUAUCAAUAUUUUUUGUCUAGCAUUAUUCUCUCUCUUCUUCAUCUUCAACUACAAAAUACUGCUACCAAUCACACAAUAUAUGCUAGAAAGUUAAUUGAAUGUUAUAUUUUUCUGCAACGCCUAUAUAAAAGAUAUAUUGCUUUCAACAUUCCAUAUAUUUUUGAAGCAAGUCUGCAAUGGUGAGAAUAUACUAAAAAUAGAAGCCUUGAAAGAAUUAACUGUGGUAUUAAAUUUAAAACGAGAUUUAGAUAUAAAAAUACAGCAAGAAUUUAUUUUGUUAAAAUAAAGGAUUAUAUGUAUAUAUAUCAAAAUCUUCGAAAUAAGUUAUCAACAAACUUAUAAUUAAAAAAUACUUCCUUAUUUCUAUUUAUUAUGUUAAUAUAGUAUAGAUUAUAAAUCUAUUAAAACACAUUUUUGUCAAUAUCAUUAUCUUUGGCAAAUUAAUAAAUUUGUCCCAUAGAAUUUUUUCUUUUUAUGAUGUGUAAUUCAAGAUAUCCUAUUUAAAGAAACGAUACACAAGCUAUGUAAAAUAUUAACAUGUUUUUCACAAGCACGACUCUUCCUUAAAUGCAAUAUAAUCGUUGUAUUAGGUAUUGAAACAUUAGUAAAAUGUGUACACAUUAUAAAUAUUAAAUUUUUAUUAAU
Formica exsecta is the source of this 1850-nucleotide RNA transcript. It is a transcript of the gene named bis(5'-nucleosyl)-tetraphosphatase [asymmetrical], with no coding region annotated. Lineage: Eukaryota; Metazoa; Arthropoda; Insecta; Hymenoptera; Formicidae. The record is from RefSeq and is a predicted model, not a curated record. The transcript has 3 exons.